GCGUUUUGAUUAAUAAAAUCAGCUUGACUCUUAAUCAGGGUGUCCAGGGUUCGAAUCCCUGAAGGUGUACCA
Molecule: transfer RNA, 72 nt
Filed under: Candidatus Monoglobus merdigallinarum
Lineage: Bacteria; Bacillati; Bacillota; Clostridia; Monoglobales; Monoglobaceae
Description: tRNA-Lys
Rfam family: tRNA
About the family: Transfer RNA (tRNA) molecules are approximately 80 nucleotides in length. Their secondary structure includes four short double-helical elements and three loops (D, anti-codon, and T loops). Further hydrogen bonds mediate the characteristic L-shaped molecular structure. tRNAs have two regions of fundamental functional importance: the anti-codon, which is responsible for specific mRNA codon recognition, and the 3' end, to which the tRNAs corresponding amino acid is attached (by aminoacyl-tRNA synthetases). tRNAs cope with the degeneracy of the genetic code in two manners: having more than one tRNA (with a specific anti-codon) for a particular amino acid; and 'wobble' base-pairing, i.e. permitting non-standard base-pairing at the 3rd anti-codon position.
Source: RNAcentral